RNAcentral lists this long non-coding RNA (567 nucleotides) under Equus asinus (donkey). RNAcentral describes it as "lncRNA (ENSEASG00005029548.1)". The record is from RNAcentral. Lineage: Eukaryota; Metazoa; Chordata; Mammalia; Perissodactyla; Equidae.
AGAGUCAGAAGGAGGCCUCGGAUCUGGGGAGAAAAUCUUCGGGCUCAUUAAACCUCACAGUUUGUUCUACCUGGACCUCAUCUGCCCAGCUACAGGAGCUUCCAUGGCCCAGCAGUUUCCACCGAAUAGUUCAGGAGCCAGUGUUCACUCUUUGCAAUGGUGAGCCUCCAGUGAUUUCAGCUGUCAAGUGUUGCUGAUCCCCAGAUUCCUACGAAGGAGAUAGGCAAAGCUUGUAGUCUUCCCUUCCGAAUUUAAUUUAAGCUGCAUGUGUAAUAGAGUUUCAGAUUCUGGAGGAAGAAGCUGGCCCCAAUCGAGUGUGAGAAUAAUCAGCCGUGGUGUAGGCAUGGCAGCUGUGAGCUGGAGAAGUCACCCCAACUGGGAUCUGUGACAGGUGGUCAGGGGAUGGCCAAAGGGUACAGGGCCUCAGUGGCUGGACUGGGGUUGGGUGGGGCCAGAGAGCAGGAGCAAAGAAGCAGACUUGGGUGUGGCCUAGCCCAGAGCAGUGGAUCUCAAACCAUUUUGUCUAAGGAUCUCUUUACAUCCUUAAAAAUUAUUGAGAAUCCCACA